This 793-nucleotide ribosomal RNA is filed under the name Dugesia sp. GS33. RNAcentral's name for it is "SSU rRNA". It matches the Rfam family "Eukaryotic small subunit ribosomal RNA", at positions 143 to 944 of the family's 1831-position model. The record is from RNAcentral. Lineage: Eukaryota; Metazoa; Platyhelminthes; Tricladida; Dugesiidae.
AUAACUGUGGUAAUUCUAGAGCUAAUAUUUUAAAGAAUGCCGUGACUCACGAAGCGGCGGAUUUAUUAGAUCAAAACUAAUCUGUCGCAAGGCGGAUAUUUGAUGACUCUGGAUAACUUUACUGAUCGUACAAUUUUGAAUUGACGACAUAUCUCUUGAAAUGGCUGACCUAUCAACUUUAGAUGGUAAGAUCAAAGCUUACCAUGGUUGUAACGGGUAACGGGGAAUCAGUGUUCGAUUCCGGAGAGGGAGCCUGAGAAACGGCUACCACAUCCACGGAAGGCAGCAGGCGCGAAAAUUACCCAAUACCGGUUCGGUGAGGUAGUGACAAUAAAUAACAAUAUGGACCCUUAGUGGUUUCAUAAUUGCAAUGAGAGAAAUUUAAAUACUUUUACAAGUAUCAAUUGGAGGGCAAGUCUGGUGCCAGCAGCCGCGGUAAUUCCAGCUCCAAAAGCGUAUAUUAAAGUUGUUGCAGUUAAAAAGCUCGUAGUUGAAAUUGGGGAAACGAUUUAACUAACCGUCUAUGAUGGAUUGUUUUAUCUUCCUUCGUCGUCGUGUAUAUUGUAAAGUUACUUAAUUGAGAUUUUGCAGUAACCGACAAGUUUACUUUGAAAAAAUUAGAGUGCUUAAAGCAGGCUUACGCUUGUAUAUUGUUGCAUGGAAUAAUGAAAUAAGACUUUGGUUUUAUUUUGUUGGUUUUCGAAACUAAAGUAAUGAUUAAAAGAGACUGCCGGGGGCAUAUGUAUGCUGGUGCUAGAGGUGAAAUUCUUAGACCAUCAGCAGACAAUCUACU